GUCCAUAUGAAGCCCAGUCCCUAGAAUGCUCAGUCCCUAGAAUGCCCAGUCCGUAUAAUGCCCAGUCCAUAUGAAGCCCAGUCCCUAUAAUGCUCAGUCCAUAUAAUGCCCAGUCUGUAUAAUGCCCAGUCCAUAUGAAACCCAGUCCCUUAUAAUGUCCAGUCCCUUAUAAUGUCCAGUCCCUUAAAUGUCCAGUCCCUAAAAUGCCCAGUCCAUAUAAUGCUCAGUCCAUAUAAUGCUCAGUCCAUAUGAAGCCCAAUCCCUAUAAUGCUCAGUCCCUAUAAUGCCCAGUCCAUAUAAUGCCCAGUCCCUAUAAUGCCCAGUCCCUAUAAUGCCCAGUCCAUAUAAUGCUCAGUCCAUAUAAAGCCCAGUCCAUAUAAUGCUCAGUCCGUAUAAAGCCCAGUCCCUAUAAUGCCCAGUCCAUAUAAUGC
This is a non-coding RNA of Pelobates cultripes (western spadefoot toad), 431 nucleotides long. NCBI's taxonomy places the organism in Eukaryota, Metazoa, Chordata, Amphibia, Anura, Pelobatidae. The record is from the annotation of a GenBank genome assembly.